Molecule: ribosomal RNA, 2148 nt
Filed under: human gut metagenome
Description: bacterial LSU rRNA
Rfam family: Bacterial large subunit ribosomal RNA
Source: RNAcentral
UGCCGCUUGCGAGGGCGUAUGGUGGAUGCCUUGGCAGACAGUACCGAUGAAGGACGUUUGAGGAUGCGAUAAUCCUAGGGGAGCCUCCAACAUGGCUUUGAUCCUAGGGUCUCCGAAUGGGGGAACCCGCCGGCCGUCAUGGGCCGGCACCGCCUAUGGGCGGGGGGUACGCAGGGAAGUGAAACAUCUCAGUACCUGCAGGAAGGGAUACUCCGUGAGUAGUGGCGAGCGAAAGCGGAUCAGACCAAACCGGUUGCGCGUGAUACCCGUCGGGGGUUGCGUUGCCGGUGUUGUGGGAUCACGUGUCCCGGUUCCGACGGGCCGGGCGGGAGUCAUAAAACGGCUUGCCAGGGGAACAGGCUUGAAGGCCUGGCCGUAGAGGGUGCCAGCCCCGUACCUGGACGUGAGCCGUCUUCCGAUCGUGUUGUCCCAAGUAGCGCGGGCCUCGUGGAAUCCCGCGUGAAUCAGCCCAGACCGUUGGGUAAGUCUAAGCAUACCUGUCUGACCGAUAGCGUACCAGUACCGUGAGGGAAAGGUGAAAAGCACCCCGGGAGGGGAGUGAAACAGUUCCUGAAACCGUGCGCCCACAAACCGUCGGAGCCUCCUUGUGGGGUGACGGCGUGCCUAUCGAAAAAUGAGUCUGCGAGUCAGUGGCGGGUGGCGAGCAUAAGCCGUGUGGCGUAUGCGUAGCGAAAGCGAGUCUUAAAAGGCGUUUUUAGUCGCUUGUCCUGGACCCGAAGCGGGAUGAUCUAGCCCUGGGCAGGUUGAAGCGCGGGUAAGACCGCGUGGAGGACCGAACCCACCUGGGUUGAAAACCGGGGGGAUGACCUGGGGCUAGGGGUGAAAGGCCAAUCAAAUUCCGUGAUAGCUGGUUCUCUCCGAAAUGCAUUUAGGUGCAGCGUCGGUCGAUUGCGUCGCGGGGGUAGAGCUACCGGAUGCUUGCGGGCCCUUGUUGGGUACCAACAGCAGCCGAACUCCGAAUACCGUUGACGUGUAUUCCGGCAGUGAGUCGGCGGGGGAUAAGCUCCGUCGUCGAGAGGGAGACAGCCCAGACCGUCGUCUAAGGUCCCGAAGCGUGUGCUAAGUGGGAAAGGAUGUGGAGUCGCAUAGACAGCCAGGAGGUUGGCUCAGAAGCAGCCAUCCUUGAAAGAGUGCGUAACAGCUCACUGGUCUAGUGGUUCCGCGCCGACAAUGUAGCGGGGCUCAAGCACACCACCGAAGACGCGGCAGCAAUCUUCAUGGUUGCUGGGUAGGAGAGCGUCCUGCGAGGGGCGAAGCGGCCGGGUAACCGUGCCGUGGACUUCGUGGGAGUGAGAAUGCAGACAUGAGUAGCGAGAGACGGGUGAGGAUCCCGUCCGCUGGAUGACCAAGGGUUCCGGGGCCACGUUCGUCGUCCCCGGGUGAGUCGGGUCCUAAGGCGAGGCCGACAGGCGUAGUCGAAUGGAUGAACGGGUGGAUAUUCCCGUACCGACCAUGGACCGGCAAAACCGAGACGGUGAGUACUAACCUCCGCCUCGUGGUGGUUCCUUCCUUCGGGUUGGUAUCGCCGCGUGGUGUUGGGACCGUAGCCGCAGUAGGUCAGCGCAGGGGUGACACGGAAUGGGAGCCGGCCGCGGAGGUGGUUUUCCGUGGUCAAGCACGCAGCCAGUCAUGUAGGCAAAUCCGCAUGGCGUGCAUGGCGAGGUGUGAUGAUGGGAGCCGUUAUGGCUCGAUAUCCGGUUGUCCAGGCCGUCGAGAAAAGCCUCGGCGUGAGGGCCAUGGCCGCCCGUACCCCAAACCGACACUGGUGGUCAGGUAGAGAAUACCAAGGCGAUCGAGCGAAUCCUGGUCAAGGAACUCGGCAAAUCACUCCCGUGCCUUCGGUAUAAGGGAGACCCGCUGGGGUGAACCGGCUAGCCCGGGGAGCUUUGGUGGGUGGCACAGACCAGGGGGUAGCGACUGUUUACCAAAAACACAGGUGCAUGCGAAGGCGAAAGCCGCUGUAUAUGCACUGACGCCUGCCCGGUGCCGGAAGGUUAAGAGGAUCCGUCAGUCCCUUCGGGAUGAAGCGGUGAAUUCAAGCCCCGGUAAACGGCGGUGGUAACUAUAACCAUCCUAAGGUAGCGAAAUUCCUUGUCGGGUAAGUUCCGACCUGCACGAAUGGCGUAA